GAUGAACGCUGGCGGCGUGCUUAACACAUGCAAGUCGAACGGAAAGGCCCAAGCUUGCUUGGGUACUCGAGUGGCGAACGGGUGAGUAACACGUGGGUGAUCUGCCCUGCACUUCGGGAUAAGCCUGGGAAACUGGGUCUAAUACCGGAUAGGACCACAUUUUGGAGGGUGUGGUGGAAAGUUUUUCGGUGUGGGAUGAGCUCGCGGCCUAUCAGCUUGUUGGUGGGGUAAUGGCCUACCAAGGCGUCGACGGGUAGCCGGCCUGAGAGGGUGUACGGCCACAUUGGGACUGAGAUACGGCCCAGACUCCUACGGGAGGCAGCAGUGGGGAAUAUUGCACAAUGGGCGCAAGCCUGAUGCAGCGACGCCGCGUGGGGGAUGACGGCCUUCGGGUUGUAAACUCCUUUCGCUAGGGACGAAGCGUUAUGUGACGGUACCUGGAGAAGAAGCACCGGCUAACUACGUG
Molecule: ribosomal RNA, 466 nt
Filed under: uncultured bacterium
Lineage: Bacteria
Description: partial 16S ribosomal RNA
Rfam family: Bacterial small subunit ribosomal RNA
Source: RNAcentral